GACGAACCGUGCGAACGUUGUUCGGAUUCACUGGGCUUAAAGGGCGCGUAGGCGGGCUCGCCAGUCAGGGGUGAAAUCCUCCGGCUCAACCGGAGAACGGCCUUUGAUACUGCGAGCCUCGAGGAAGGUAGGGGCAUGUGGAACUUCCGGUGGAGCGGUGAAAUGCGUAGAUAUCGGAAGGAACGCCGGUGGCGAAAGCGACGUGCUGGACCUCUUCUGACGCUGAGGCGCGAAAGCUAGGGGAGCAAACGGG
Molecule: ribosomal RNA, 253 nt
Filed under: uncultured bacterium
Lineage: Bacteria
Description: partial 16S ribosomal RNA
Rfam family: Bacterial small subunit ribosomal RNA
Source: RNAcentral